GACGAACGCUGGCGGCGUGCCUAAUACAUGCAAGUCGAGCGGACUUUCAAGAAGCUUGCUUUUUGAAAGUUAGCGGCGGACGGGUGAGUAACACGUGGGCAACCUGCCUGCAAGACGGGGAUAACUCCGGGAAACCGGGGCUAAUACCGGAUAAUAUCUUCCUUCGCAUGAAGGAAGGUUGAAAGGCGGCGCAAGCUGCCGCUUGCAGAUGGUCCCGCGGCGCAUUAGCUAGUUGGUGAGGUAACGGCUCACCAAGGCGACGAUGCGUAGCCGACCUGAGAGGGUGGUCGGCCACACUGGGACUGAGACACGGCCCAGACGCCUACGGGAGGCAGCAGGAGGGAAUCUUACGGAAUGGACGAAAGUCUGACGGAGCAACGCCGCGUGAGCGAAGAAGGGCUUCGGAUCGUAAAGCUCUGUUGUCAGGGAAGAACAAGUACCGUUCGAACAGGGCGGUACCUUGACGGUACCUGACCAGAAAGCCACGGCUAACUACGUG
This 499-nucleotide ribosomal RNA is filed under the name uncultured bacterium. RNAcentral describes it as "partial 16S ribosomal RNA". It matches the Rfam family "Bacterial small subunit ribosomal RNA", at positions 28 to 507 of the family's 1533-position model. The record is from RNAcentral.